This 633-nucleotide long non-coding RNA is filed under the name Lotus japonicus. RNAcentral describes it as "long non-coding RNA (LJAP_LNC000397)". The record is from RNAcentral. Lineage: Eukaryota; Viridiplantae; Streptophyta; Magnoliopsida; Fabales; Fabaceae.
UUUCAGCCAGAUUGUUGAUGAUUUCUAGAGAAUCCUUAGUUGACAGAUGAUCAAAAGCUCCAUUCUUGCCUGCAAGGUCCAACAUGACUCUUGUAUUACUUUUGAGAGCUGCAUAGAACCUAUCUACCUGUGUUGAUUCUUUCAAAUUGUGGCCUGGACACUUUCUAAGAAGUCCCUUAAACCUUUCCCAUACAUCAUAAAGAUUCUCAGAUUCCAUUUGAUAGAAAGUAUUGAUGUCAUGCUUCAGUUGCCUCAUGCGAGAGCUAGGGAAAAACUUUUCUGAGAACUUCUUGGCUAUAUCAUCCUAAGAAGUUAUGCUCUGUCGAGGUUGAGCCCUCAACCACUCUUCAGCAGCAUCCCUCAAAGAGUAGGGGAAGAGUGUUAGUCUGACAUCAUCCAGACUUACUUGAUCAGAUACCACAGGGGACACCUGCAUAGUGAAACGAUCCAUGUGAGCAUAUGGAUCCUCCAGUACGCUUCCUCCGAAUUGAUUCUGUGCUAUCGAAUGCAUUAUGUGCGGUGGAAUUUUGAAACCUCUUGGUAGGCCUGUUGGUUUGACAAUGCUUCCCUCAAAUCUGAAACUGAUUUGAGGUGCAUUAAGGUCUUUCAGUGAUCUCCCGGCCUCCAAUGCAG